CUUGAGGGAGCCGAGCCACAGCGGCCGGUCCUGCGGCCGGUUCUGCCCGUACGUGGCGAUGACGGCCUGGGCCUC
Molecule: antisense RNA, 75 nt
Filed under: Streptomyces sp. TSRI0107
Lineage: Bacteria; Bacillati; Actinomycetota; Actinomycetes; Kitasatosporales; Streptomycetaceae
Description: ASpks sRNA
Rfam family: ASpks TB sRNA
Source: RNAcentral